UUCAUAGGGACCACAAUGGCACAUAAAACUGUGUCCUGGGUGCCCAUUUAAGCCCUUCUGGUAUCAUUUUCCUGAAUUCUUCAGAAAAUAUGCCUUCUAUAUAUAUUAGCUAACAUUUCCUGAGCAUCUACAAUAAGCCUUUUCCAUAUAUCACUGCAUUGAAUCCUUACAACUCUAAGCUUUCUAAUUCAACCAGCUUUGGGGCAGCAAAACAUAAAUUUCCACUUCUGGAAUGGGAGACAUCUCCAGUGAAAGUUACCUUAAGGUCCAGAAGAAGCCAGGCAGAGAAAUCACAUGUCUCAGCUUUUCCACUGCAAAAUUUCUAUUUUAUACUUGAAGAAUAUGAUUCUAAUCAAGUACAAGUUAAUCUGCACCUGAACAUCUUCAGGGUCUUGCUCUAUCACCCAGGCUGGAGUGCAGUGGCGCGAUCUCAGCUCACUGCAACUUCUGCCUCCAGGUUCAAGCGAUUCUCGUGCCUUGGCCUCCCAAGUAGCUGGGAUUACAGAUACGCACCACCACACCCAGCUAAUUUUUGUAUUUUUAGUAGAGAAGGGGUUUUGCCAUGUUGGCCAGGCUGGUUUCGAACUCCUGACCUCAAGUGAUCCACCCGCCUUGGCCUCCCAAAGUGCUGGGAUUACAGGCCUCGUGAGUCGCUGUGCCAGGCCUAAUUUUAAAUAUUCUGUGCAUCAGAUAUUUCACUAAACCAGACUGCCCCUCCUCCUACUCAUUCUCAUCUCAUCUCAUUAUUCCAAAUGUUAGAGGUUUGACUAUAUGUUACAAACACACACCUGCAAAUGGAGUCAAUGCCUGUGGACUAACAGAACCCAUAUUCAAAGCCUGAGAAUCAGCUAUGGGAAAGCCAUCUGAGAGACAAAUUAUACUUGAAGGACAGCAACUCUAUCCCUGAGUUAGCUAACGCUCAGCAGAAGUCUGGCCCACUGGGACCUAAGCAAUUUGAGAACCCCAGAAGCCACCAAGUGGAGAACCCCAGGCUUUAGAGAACCCCACAAGCCACCAUGUGGAGAAGCCCAGGCUAACCUGCUGGAUGAUGAGACUCACAAAGCCCAGGCAUCCCUGUAGCCCUUGCCAACCGUCAUGUAUGUGAGUGAGACUAUCCAUCUGACGGGAUGUUCAUGAGUGAGCUCAGAGGAGAAGAGAACCAUCACAUAGCUGAGCCCAGCUUAAAUUGCCAAACCACAAAAUGGUGAACUAAAUAAAUGCCUGUUGUUUUAAGCCACCAAGUUUUGGAGUGGUUUGUUGAGCAGCAAAAGCUGAUUCAAAAUCUAUUUAUCCCCCAAAUCGAAUGCAAGCCACCUAACAGCAUUAUAUAAAAGGCAAAAUUUCAAUUCUAAAGUAAACUGACAUAGAAUGGGUAUGGUGUUGAUGAGCUGAUUAGAAAAGGAAAGAGCACAAGUCAUAAAUCACCGUGUAGCUCAUUAAAAUGUAGUAUGAUAGAGAGCUGAGUUCUCUGUGCAAAAAAUUACCAAGAUAAGAAUCUCAGCUGGGUGUGAUGGCUCACGUCUGUAAUCCCAGCACUUUGGGAGGCCGAGGUGAGUGGAUCACAUGAGGUUAGGAGUUUGAGACCAGCCUGGCCAACAUGGUGAAACCCCAUCUCUACUAAGAUACAAAAAAUUAGCCGG
RNAcentral lists this long non-coding RNA (1640 nucleotides) under Homo sapiens (human). RNAcentral's name for it is "HSALNT0377488". The record is from RNAcentral. Lineage: Eukaryota; Metazoa; Chordata; Mammalia; Primates; Hominidae.